RNAcentral lists this ribosomal RNA (497 nucleotides) under uncultured bacterium. Its description in RNAcentral is "partial 16S ribosomal RNA". It matches the Rfam family "Bacterial small subunit ribosomal RNA", at positions 28 to 507 of the family's 1533-position model. The record is from RNAcentral.
GAUGAACGCUGGCGGCGUGCCUAAUACAUGCCAGUCGAGCGAACGGACGAGAAGCUUGCUUUUCUGAUGUUAGCGGCGGACGGGUGAGUAACACGUGGAUAACCUACCUAUAAGACUGGGAUAACUUCGGGAAACCGGAGCUAAUACCGGAUAAUAUUUUGAACCGCAUGGUUCAAAAGUGAAAGACGGUCUUGCUGUCACUUAUAGAUGGAUCCGCGCUGCAUUAGCUAGUUGGUAAGGUAACGGCUUACCAAGGCAACGAUGCAUAGCCGACCUGAGAGGGUGAUCGGCCACACUGCAACUGAGACACGGUCCAGACUCCUACGGGAGGCAGCAGUAGGGAAUCUUCCGCAAUGGGCGAAAGCCUGACGGAGCAACGCCGCGUGAGUGAUGAAGGUCUUCGGAUCGUAAACCUCUGUUAUUAGGGAAGAACAUAUGUGUAAGUAACUGUGCACAUCUUGACGGUACCUAAUCAGAAAGCCACGGCUAACUACGUG